UGGAAGUAAAAGUCGUAACAAGGUUUCCGUAGGUGAACCUGCGGAAGGAUCAUUAAUAAAUUCUGACCAUAAAUUGGUUAGAUACAAUAAUCAUCCUACCCUAUGUGAAUUUGUUGUAUAAAAUAAUUUUUUUGAUAAAAUUAUUUGAUUUGUCUUUCCCUGAUGUUAAGAGAGGUUGUAAAAGACUUUUCUUACUCAGGGGAUAGAUUUUUCAAAUAAUUUUUGAGAAAGACCUUUUUUUAAAUAAAACUUUUUGUAUUCAUUUGUCUAAAAAAAUUUUUAUAAAUAAUAUAAAACAACUUUUGACAAUGGAUCUCUUGGUUCUCGCAACGAUGAAGAACGCAGCAAAAUGCGAUAAGUAGUGUGAAUUGCAGAAUACGUGAAUCAUCGAAUCUUCGAACGCAUAUUGCACUUUUUAGUUUACUAAAAAAGUAUGUCUGUUUGAGUAUCAGUAAAAUAUUCUCAUAAAAAAUUUAUUUUUAUGGUUUUGAGUGUUUUACAACGAUACAAGUUGUUUCACUUUAAAUUUUUUGAUAUUGGAAAUUUUUCAAUUUUUUUAAAAUUGGAUAAAAUUUUCCCGUAAAAAGGAAUAAACUUGACAAUUUUAAAAAUAAAGAAAAACAUUUCCACAAUAAAGGAAAUUUAAAAUCAACUUGAUCUCAAAUCAGAUAAGAGUACCCGCUGAACUUAAGCAUAUCAAUAAGCGGAGGAAAAGAAACUAACAAGGAUUCCCCUAGUAACGGCGAGUGAAGCGGGAAGAGCUCAAAUUUGAAAUCUUAAAGGGUUUCCCUUUACGAAUUGUAGUUUAAAGAAGUGUUUUCUGUUGGAGUUUCGGUAAAAGUUCUUUGGAAUAGGACAUCAUAGAGGGUGAGAAUCCCGUAUUUGACCGUUACUUUCCAGCUGUGUGAUACACUUUCAAAGAGUCGGGUUGUUUGGGAAUGCAGUCCAAAAUGGGUGGUAAAUUUCAUCUAAAGCUAAAUAUUGGCGAGAGACCGAUAGCGAACAAGUACCGUGAGGGAAGAUGAAAAGAACUUUGAAAAGAGAGUUAAACAGUACGUGAAAUUGUCAAAAGGGAAGCGUUUGACACCAGUGUUGUUUUUUCGAAAAUCAAUUAAGAAUGGCUUGAUUUUGUGUUGUAUUGACCUUAUCAGCUUUCUUCACUCUUCUUCGAGUCUUUCUUAAUGCACUUUUCGGUUAACAAGUCAACAUCAAAUUCUUUUGUUGUAAAAGGGUAUUUGGAAGGUGGCUUUCUUUUCGGAGAAAGUGUUUAUAGCCUUAUACCUCUACAAUCGGAGAGAUUGAGGUCUGCAGCGUAGAUCCUUCGGGGCUAGAUACACUUGUGCUAAGUUAUAGCUUUUCAUAGACAACUUGUUGACUAUGUUUAGUCAUGUAGCUACCCGCUUGUGCUAUUUUACCUACGCUUAGGAUGU
RNAcentral lists this unclassified non-coding RNA (1430 nucleotides) under uncultured Neocallimastigales. RNAcentral describes it as "partial contains small subunit ribosomal RNA, internal transcribed spacer 1, 5.8S ribosomal RNA, internal transcribed spacer 2, and large subunit ribosomal RNA". The stretch from base 655 to 1430 matches the Rfam family "Eukaryotic large subunit ribosomal RNA", at positions 1 to 626 of the family's 3401-position model. Lineage: Eukaryota; Fungi; Neocallimastigomycota; Neocallimastigomycetes; Neocallimastigales. The record is from RNAcentral.